This 821-nucleotide long non-coding RNA is filed under the name Citrus sinensis (sweet orange). Its description in RNAcentral is "long non-coding RNA (CSIN_LNC002154)". Lineage: Eukaryota; Viridiplantae; Streptophyta; Magnoliopsida; Sapindales; Rutaceae. The record is from RNAcentral.
UAAUACUACCUUUAAUGACGGUUUUGUUAAGAACCGUCAUUAAAAAUAAAUUAUUUUUAAUGACGGUUCUUAACAAAACCGUCAUUGAAAGUCAUACUUUUUAAUGACCGUUAUAUAUUAUAACGGUCAUUAUAUAUAUAAUUAAAAUGCUUUUAAUUUUAAUGACGGUUCUUUAAGAACCGUCAUUAAAAAUUGACAUUUUUAGUGACAGUUGUAUAAAACAACCGUCAUCGUAUAUAUUGAUAUAGUUAUAAAAAAAAAAAAAAAUUGGCCUUAUACUGAACACCAAAUCCCUAAAAUUACAGAUAAUUUGUAAACAUUAAAAGCAAUGGCGCACGCACGCACGCCGCCGGUACACUUAGCCCAUGCAGCAGCAACCGAGCACGGUAGCAACAGGCCACCAGCAGUCGCUCUCUCUCUCACGCACACGCAGCAGCAAGCCAACACCAAUAGCCCCUCUUUCUCAUGCUCACUCUCUACUAUGCCCUCUUACGUACUCAAGAAAACUCUAACCCAUAUCCAAACCCUCGCCGUCGAAGAAAACCCAAUCCUUAAUGGCUUGAAAUUAAAGCCUCCACCGUCAAUCACCAUCGAACCAAAUAAACCCUAGCCUUACCAUCACUCUUCGUUUGACUCGCUGAAGAAAGCACUCUAUUAGGUGAGUCUCUGUUGUUUGAUAAUAUAUCUGCACUCUUUGUUGGCCGAAGCUUUUAGACAAUUGCUUUGAUUCAAUUGCUUCGAUUGGUUAGUUCUCUGUGAUUAAUUAGUUAGUUACUUUUAAUUUCAUAUUUUCAUCUCUAACAGUGAAUUUGGGAGUNNNN